CGUCAGAUUUGAAACGGACUGGACGGGCACUUGCCGUUUACACGACUGCAAGUCGAACGGUAACAGGGAGCUUGCUCCGCUGACGAGUGGCGAACGGGUGAGUAAUAUAUCGGAACGUACCCAGUAGUGGGGGAGUAGCCCGGCGAAAGCCGGAUUAAUACCGCAUACGAUCUACGGAUGAAAGCGGGGGAUCGCAAGACCUCGCGCUAUUGGAGCGGCCGAUAUCUGAUUAGCUAGUUGGUGAGGUAAAGGCUCACCAAGGCUACGAUCAGUAGCUGGUCUGAGAGGACGACCAGCCACACUGGAACUGAGACACGGUCCAGACUCCUACGGGAGGCAGCAGUGGGGAAUUUUGGACAAUGGGCGAAAGCCUGAUCCAGCAAUGCCGCGUGAGUGAAGAAGGCCUUCGGGUUGUAAAGCUCUUUUGUCAGGGAAGAAACGGUAGAGGCUAAUAUCCUUUGCUAAUGACGGUACCUGAAGAAUAAGCACCGGCUAACUACGUG
RNAcentral lists this ribosomal RNA (503 nucleotides) under uncultured Oxalobacteraceae bacterium. RNAcentral describes it as "bacterial SSU rRNA". It matches the Rfam family "Bacterial small subunit ribosomal RNA", at positions 1 to 507 of the family's 1533-position model. The record is from RNAcentral. Lineage: Bacteria; Pseudomonadati; Pseudomonadota; Betaproteobacteria; Burkholderiales; Oxalobacteraceae.